Molecule: ribosomal RNA, 468 nt
Filed under: uncultured bacterium
Lineage: Bacteria
Description: partial 16S ribosomal RNA
Rfam family: Bacterial small subunit ribosomal RNA
Source: RNAcentral
UAGGGAAUCUUCCACAAUGGACGCAAGUCUGAUGGAGCAACGCCGCGUGAGUGAAGAAGGUUUUCGGACCGUAAAGCUCUGUUGUUGGUGAAGAAGGAUAGAGGUAGUAACUGGCCUUUAUUUGACGGUAAUCAACCAGAAAGUCACGGCUAACUACGUGCCAGCAGCCGCGGUAAUCGUAGGUGGCAAGCGUUGUCCGGAUUUAUUGGGCGUAAAGCGAGCGCAGGCGGAAGAAUAAGUCUGAUGUGAAAGCCCUCGGCUUAACCGAGGAAUUGCAUCGGAAACUGUUUUCUUGAGUGCAGAAGAGGAGAGUAGAACUCCAUGUGUAGCGGUGGAAUGCGUAGAUAUAUGGAAGAAUACCAGUGGCGAAGGCGGCUCUCUGGUCUGCAACUGACGCUGAGGCUCGAAAGCAUGGGUAGCGAACAGGAUUAGAUACCCUGGUAGUCCAUGCCGUAAACGAUGAGUGCU